RNAcentral lists this microRNA precursor (58 nucleotides) under Callorhinchus milii (elephant shark). RNAcentral's name for it is "Cmi-Mir-196-P4_pre stem-loop". It matches the Rfam family "mir-196 microRNA precursor family", at positions 10 to 68 of the family's 77-position model. From Rfam's summary of the family: In many species the miRNA appears to be expressed from intergenic regions in HOX gene clusters. The hairpin precursors (represented here) are predicted based on base pairing and cross-species conservation -- their extents are not known. The record is from RNAcentral. Lineage: Eukaryota; Metazoa; Chordata; Chondrichthyes; Chimaeriformes; Callorhinchidae.
UAGGUAGUUUCAUGUUGUUGGGAUCGGGUUUAAACUCGACAACAAGAAACUGCCUUAA